CGCCCAAGGAUGGGGCCGCGACCGAUCAGGUUGUUGGUGAGGUAAUGGCUCACCAAGCCUUUUACCGGUGCGGGCCGUGAGAGCGGGAGCCCGGAGAUGGGCACUGAGACAAGGGCCCAGGCCCUACGGGGCGCAGCAGUCGCGAAAACUUUGCAAUAAGCGAAAGCUUGACAGGGCUAUCCCGAGUGCCAUCCGCUGAGGAAGGCUUUUACCCAGUCUAGAACGCUGGGGGAAUAAGGAGAGGGCAAGUCUGGUGUCAGCCGCCGCGGUAAUACCAGCUCUCCGAGUGGUGUGGAUGUUUAUUGGGCCUAAAGCAUCCGUAGCUGGCUAGGUUAGUCCCCUGUUAAAUCCACCGAAUUAAUCGUUGGAUUGCGGGGGAUACUGCUUGGCUAGGGGACGAGAGAGGCAGACGGUAUUUCCGGGGUAGGGGUGAAAUCCUAUAAUCCCGGGAAGACCACCAGUGGCGAAGGCUGUCUGCUAGAACGCGCCCGACGGUGAGGGAUGAAAGCUGGGGGAGCGAACCGGAUUAGAUACCCGGGUAGUCCCAGCUGUAAACGAUGCAGACUAGGUGUUUGGACGGCCACGUGCCGUUCUAGUGCCGCAGGGAAGCUGUUAAGUCUGCCGCCUGGGGAGUACGAUCGCAAGAUUGAAACUUAAAGGAAUUGGCGGGGGAGCACA
RNAcentral lists this ribosomal RNA (678 nucleotides) under uncultured archaeon. RNAcentral's name for it is "bacterial SSU rRNA". It matches the Rfam family "Archaeal small subunit ribosomal RNA", at positions 200 to 880 of the family's 1478-position model. The record is from RNAcentral.